Molecule: ribosomal RNA, 982 nt
Filed under: Aeromonas salmonicida
Lineage: Bacteria; Pseudomonadati; Pseudomonadota; Gammaproteobacteria; Aeromonadales; Aeromonadaceae
Description: partial 23S ribosomal RNA
Rfam family: Bacterial large subunit ribosomal RNA
Source: RNAcentral
GAGGCGAACCGGGAGAACUGAAACAUCUAAGUACCCCGAGGAAAAGAAAUCAACCGAGAUUCCCUCAGUAGCGGCGAGCGAACGGGGAUUAGCCCUUAAGUUUCUUGGAAGUUAGUGGAAUGGUCCUGGAAAGGCCAGCGAUACAGGGUGAUAGCCCCGUACAUGAAAACGACCUUGAAGUGAAAUCGAGUAGGGCGGGACACGUGACAUCCUGUCUGAAUAUGGGGGGACCAUCCUCCAAGGCUAAAUACUCCUGACUGACCGAUAGUGAACCAGUACCGUGAGGGAAAGGCGAAAAGAACCCCUGUGAGGGGAGUGAAAUAGAACCUGAAACCGUGUACGUACAAGCAGUGGGAGCCCUUCGGGGUGACUGCGUACCUUUUGUAUAAUGGGUCAGCGACUUACAUUUUGUAGCGAGGUUAACCGUAUAGGGGAGCCGUAGGGAAACCGAGUCUUAACUGGGCGUCUAGUUGCAAGGUGUAGACCCGAAACCGGGUGAUCUAGCCAUGGGCAGGUUGAAGGUUGAGUAACAUCAACUGGAGGACCGAACCCACUAACGUUGCAAAGUUAGGGGAUGACCUGUGGCUGGGGGUGAAAGGCCAAUCAAACUCGGAGAUAGCUGGUUCUCCCCGAAAGCUAUUUAGGUAGCGCCUCGGACGAAUACUACUGGGGGUAGAGCACUGUUUGGACUAGGGGGUCAUCCCGACUUACCAACUCCAUGCAAACUCCGAAUACCAGUAAGUAAUAUCCGGGAGACACACGGCGGGUGCUAACGUCCGUCGUGAAGAGGGAAACAACCCAGACCGCCGGCUAAGGUCCCAAAGUUCUGGUUAAGUGGGAAACGAUGUGGGAAGGCUCAGACAGCUAGGAUGUUGGCUUAGAAGCAGCCAUCAUUUAAAGAAAGCGUAAUAGCUCACUAGUCGAGUCGGCCUGCGCGGAAGAUGUAACGGGGCUCAAACCAGGCACCGAAGCCGCGGAUUCA